RNAcentral lists this long non-coding RNA (225 nucleotides) under Lathyrus oleraceus (garden pea). Its description in RNAcentral is "Pisum sativum (pea) long non-coding RNA (PSAT_LNC003682)". Lineage: Eukaryota; Viridiplantae; Streptophyta; Magnoliopsida; Fabales; Fabaceae. The record is from RNAcentral.
UGAUAUUUUCCACGUCAAUGAUCUUAGCUUAUGUUUGAUUUGUGAUUAACGAUUUAAUUGAAAUUCGUUCGUCAAGAUUAUUCUAUUAAGAGGAUUAAAAAUUGAAAACCCCAUCUUAAAUAUCCAACACAUGAUUCGUUAUUGUGGCGAUUAACAUCAACAUAAACACUAUAUUGGGGACACUGCCUAACUUCUAUUUUUCUCAGAACCUUAGGAUUGACCUCU